UGUGUCAGACUCAAUUAAAGAUGAGACCCAGGUGUGGAGGAGCUGGGUGGAUAAUACCAAGGAAGGGGUUCAGUGCAGGAAGAAGUGGAGGACUACGUGUCUGCUGCCCUGUAAUGUGGGAAGGGAACUGUUACAAUAGGCCAGGAGAUGCCCUAAGAAGCCAUGGCAGCUCCUUCAGUGAGCACUGAUAAAAGAGCAGGAACCAGACCUCCAGGGAGAAAACCCUGGAAGGUGUUGCCUGCUAUCAGAGUACGGAAGAACUUUGCAAAGCCUAGAAAGGAGCUGGGGCAAAGGACCUAGAGGCCAGGCAUGGUAGGAAGGAGUCUAGGUAAGCCACAAGGACUCUGAGCUAGUCUUGGCUGCUUGCUAUGGGGUCCUUGGACUGGAUGAGGUGUAAACAGAGGACCUGGGUUCCCCUCCCCACCACUGGAGAAAGUGGCACCAAACCCCUGACAGAAGAGGGUAAGGACUUGCUCUGAGGCAAGAGGAUGUAAGGACUGCUUGGCCCAGAAUCGGGGGCUGAAGACCUGAGAGAAGGUCAUCGGACUACUGAGUGGUGAGACUGCUGUUACCCUGGCAGGGCUGGGAGUGACUGGCAGCUGGCUGGAGGGCUGAGUCACAAGAAGAUGCGGACCACUGCUGGACCCAGUGGGGGGCCACAAGAGGAGAGCCUGCUAUGCUGUACCCAGCUGCCUGGUCUGUGACUGGACUGGCAGCUCCGGGGGGAAGAAGGGAAAGGUUCACACAAAGAAAAGCUACCCAACUACGUUAUUGUGUAUUUAUUUGUGCAUCCGAUGCACACGCUCACCACCAAAGAGUCUGCCCAUCAAAGCCAAGACAGACAGUCCCAACCUACAGCUGUUUCCAAGCUCAUAACUCACCUGUUUCUGUCUGAUGUUCUGCAGCUGCUGACUUGGAUGAGACGAGGCAGGCAUAUUUUCCCUCAGGAUUUUGGUUACUUUGCACCUCUGCGCUUUAUAGAUCUCUGCUUACUCCCCC
Long non-coding RNA from Mauremys reevesii (Reeves's turtle), 999 nucleotides. RefSeq lists it as uncharacterized. The transcript is spliced from 4 exons. The record is from RefSeq and is a predicted model, not a curated record. NCBI's taxonomy places the organism in Eukaryota, Metazoa, Chordata, Testudines, Geoemydidae.